GCUGGCAGUGUAAUUAAACAUCACCAAAGAUGCACCUACCUAUUAAAGAGCAGUGAGUAUAAACUAUGGUAGUGUUUACGAAGGAGUACAAGCUGCAGCCCGGUGUCAAAAGUUUGAGUUUUGAGUCGCCCAAAUUCCUGACCUCAUGUAGACGAUUGGCUGAAACGCAACAAUACUUUACUGUUUUCAAAUUGUUUCAAUUUCUGCAUAAAAAAAGGACCCUGAGUGAUAUUUUGCUAACUACUCAAAUCAUUGAGGAAUCAUGACCCUAUGAUGUCAAGACUGUCUGCUACUUUUAGCUAGCUUUAAAAGCACGUUUUGAGCUAGCUUUGUAAACAUUAUAAGUUACUUUCAGCUAACUUUGUCAAACGUCUUUAGUGGUGUUUUGUAUCUUAAAACUUGACCACAUUUUCCUUAAUACUUUCACCAUUGAUAUAUUGUCAAUUUGCAAAACUUGAUAUUGUCUAGUAAAACUUUUAGCUAGGGUGACCAUACAUCCUCUUUUACCCUGACAUGUCCUCUUUUUGGGGCCUGUUCAGCCUUGUCGGGGGGAGUUUAUAAAAUCUUUCAAAUGUCCCAGAUUUUGUACCGAAGAUUUGAGUUUGUGUUGCAUGGAUUUACUGAGUUAGAAGCAUAUAAAAGACACUCAACUCAACAAACUCUCAAAAUUUGCUAAGUGCAACUCCAUGACUAGUCGUGUCCUCUUUUCGGGGAUUCAUAAUAUGGUCACCCUAUUUUAGCUAGCUUACUUACCUGCCUGUAUUUUUGCUAACUACCUCAAACAAUAUUGAUUGAACUUUUAACUACUGGCUUGUUAACUUGAUAGUGAACUAGACUGCCUACUUGGCUUUCCUUAGCAACACUUAAAACGACACACACAACUUCUAAUAGGCGUCAGAAAUUCUUUACUGUCAUUUUUGUUUGUCUCCAAAAGUCGAGAUUUGUGAAAUCUGAUCUUUGAUGUCUGACGCCACAAUCCAUGAUACUCAGCUUGACUCCCAAUUCUGCCUGCGUCAGAGGAACCAGUCCACAAAUGUAUGUGAUUCAUUGCGAAAGAGUCUCAUUGUUCCGUAUUACAAUGCACAAUAUUUUUAGGGAAGUUCCUCAUUUGAAACUGUGUGAAAAAUGCUGAAUCUCUUUGAUGCUGAAAUUGCAGAAGGUUCGAACAGUAUGCUUUCUUACGUAACGCUGACAUACAGUUGUUGAGUUCCCAGGAUUGCAGCAGGUCACUUCUGCAAAUGUAGACUCAUAAAAUAAUCUGUUCUGACUCAGCGUGACCCUUAAUGAGUUUAUAAUGACUUUUCACAUGAGUUACCAUGAGACAACAUCACAGUUUCCAAAACCAGUUUCAUUAAUUGCAAAUGUUUUGAGCUGCUGGUAUACACUGUAAAACUUCUGUCAGGAUUCAAGAAAGUAAAACGAUAUGUAGCUGCAGGUCCAUGAAUGGAUCCAUUAAGUCUUUUUGUCAAUGAGAGGACCUGGCGUCACAGCAGGUCUAUUGUUCCAGGAAACGUUUAACCCUGCUGACCCGCUGUCUUCCUCUCUGCAGGAACUUUAAUGGUCUUAUCUUGGUCCCCUCUCAGGACUUUCUACACAUUUCUCCACCUUGAGAUCCAAACAGUCAUUGACACUGAAGUUAAAAAAGAAACCUGCCUUUAAAUCGCUUUCUUCUACAAAUUCAUUCAUGUGUUUUUAUUGUAACCUUUGAAAUCCAUUGAUUUAUCCUCUAUCCAAUUAAUCAACUCAUUAAUUUGGUGAUCUGAACAUGUCUUUAUUUAUAGCGGUUGUUCAAGCAAACAUGGACACGUAUAAAGGCCAAAGAAACUUCCCAACAAACUCCAACUAGACAUGACUCUCUGCACCAAAGCAUCAAGUUUGUCUACGUGUCGGGUCUCAGUCUCUGCAGUUACCACCUCCUUAAUCCAUGUCAUAUCAUGACAGCACUGUCUCUGCUCUUAGCUGCUGGUUAUCCUCUUAACUCUAAGGUUACAUGGCCCACUAACAUUACCCUGAUCUCUAUAUGAGGAAUUAAGUACAGCGAGUACAGCGUGCAGCUCAGGGAUCAUAUGAAUCUGACAUUAGAUAUCAUCGUUUACGCUGCAGCCAACUCUUGACAUCUGCAGAUGUCUAUUCCAUAGACUGUACAAUCUCAUAUUAAUAUGCAGAUAGCAGUAACACUUUACUUGACACCUAUCUCUAUAACGCAUUAAAAAUAAAUGUAUCAUGCGUUAUAAUCACAGUGGUUUUAAAACGAAAUGCAUUGGAGUCUACAUUUCUGCACCUAAAUGCAUCAUUUUUGUCUGAUUGUUUAUGAAAUUGCUGUCUGGGUAACACUUUACUUGACGCCUAUCUCUAUAAUGCAUUAUAAACAAAUGUAUUAUGCAUUAUAAUCAUGUUAUAACACUGUAUAACUAUAGUUAUAAACAUUCAUAAAUGAUCAUAAUGCUUUAUAGCAGUAAUCAUGACACAUUAUGAAGCAUUUUCUCAUGUAUUAUAAUGUGCUGUAACUGUUAACAACUCACUGACAAUGUCCACAUAGAUAAUGCAUUAUACAUAUAUUUAUGAUGUGUUAUAAUUUGCUUAUAAACUUGUAUAACUAUCAUUAUAACCACUCAUUAAUUAUCAUAAUGCUUUAUAACAAUAAGCACAUUAUAUACAUUAUAAUACCUGACCUUGUAAGUCAUGAUAAAAUGCUUGACAAUGUGUUAUUGCUAUAAAGCUUUAUGAUCAUUUAUGAGUGUUUAUAACUGUAGUUAUACAGCACUAUAACACGAUUAUAACGUAUUAUACAUUUAUUUACAAUACGUUAUAGAGAAAGGCGUCAAGUCAAGUGUUACCCAGAUAGCAAUUUCAUAAACAAUCAGACAAAAAUGAUGCGUUUAGGUGCAGAAGUGUAGACUCCAAUGCAUUUCUUUUCAAAACUUCUGCAUCAGAUACCUAAUCCUGGCAUGACAGCAUUUCUGUCCCGCCCACAGCUGCAUACCUCAGGUACCAUGUCUUCUGUGUGGAUGUGCUCAAGCAUCAACAGUCAGAGGCAACACCUUUACUCUUGCUGAGGGUGUAGCCUGAAGAGCAACAUUACUGAGAGUUUGGUCAUAAAGGGAAAACCCUCUCUAACCAACUGGAAAUUCGAAUGAAGUCUCACCAAUCCUGCAAAAGUAUUUUGAUCUUGUUGAUGAUUAUUCCGGUUAUUGUUGAUGAGAUUGACUUAAGCAAACAAAACUAACCUGUUUUUCUUCAUCAUCUGCAUCCACGCAAAACCCAUCCUACCAGUUUGUUACCCAAGACAAAAUUUAGAUUCAAGGCCAUUAGUGUCAACCUGUUUUUGCACUAUUUUUGACCGUGUUAUCAAAGUCCAGAUUGAGGUUUCAUGUCAUUCUCAGUCUUGUUUCCAUCACGCUGAUAUGCUUCUGUCCUUCACUUUCAUUAGUCGUCUCAUGUUUUUUUUUAGCAUUAUGUAACAGCGGUCAGUGGGUGGUGGUGAUGAAGAGGAAGUGUUUCUAAGAAGCUGUCAUGUUCUUCUUGAUUAUGAUAUUCUCAGAGGUUAGUUGUUUGUGAGGGAUGGUUACAGGUUGGUGUUUGUGAUUAACUUGUGAGAUCUGAAUGACCAAAGCUUGGAUGAGUCAUUCAUCGGGAUGUUUGUUGACCUGCGGCCCCUGACAGAGAAGUAAUAUCGAAACUAAAAGUCCAUCAGCUUCACUUCUACAUCCCAGAAGAAUUAUAUUAGUUUCCGAUAAGUCCUCAUGUGUGAAGCUAACCCUACCCCUAAC
This is a non-coding RNA of Xyrichtys novacula (pearly razorfish), 3770 nucleotides long. NCBI's taxonomy places the organism in Eukaryota, Metazoa, Chordata, Actinopteri, Labriformes, Labridae. The record is from the annotation of a GenBank genome assembly.